ACUACGGGAGGCAGCAGUGGGGAAUAUUGGGCAAUGGGCGCAAGCCUGACCCAGCAACGCCGCGUGAAGGAAGAAGGCUUUCGGGUUGUAAACUUCUUUUCUCAGGGACGAAGCAAGUGACGGUACCUGAGGAAUAAGCCACGGCUAACGACGUGCCAGCAGCCGCGGUAAUACGUAGGUGGCAAGCGUUAUCCGGAUUUACUGGGUGUAAAGGGCGUGUAGGCGGGACUGCAAGUCAGAUGUGAAAACCAUGGGCUCAACUUAUGGCCUGCAUUUGAAACUGUAGUUCUUGAGUACUGGAGAGGCAGACGGAAUUCCUAGUGUAGCGGUGAAAUGCGUAGAUAUUAGGAGGAACACCAGUGGCGAAGGCGGUCUGCUGGACAGCAACUGACGCUGAGGCGCGAAAGCGUGGGUAGCAAACAGGAUUAGAUACCCCUGUAGUC
Molecule: ribosomal RNA, 443 nt
Filed under: uncultured bacterium
Lineage: Bacteria
Description: partial 16S ribosomal RNA
Rfam family: Bacterial small subunit ribosomal RNA
Source: RNAcentral